RNAcentral lists this long non-coding RNA (219 nucleotides) under Phaseolus vulgaris (common bean). RNAcentral's name for it is "long non-coding RNA (PVUL_LNC001611)". Lineage: Eukaryota; Viridiplantae; Streptophyta; Magnoliopsida; Fabales; Fabaceae. The record is from RNAcentral.
GCCAAGCACAUCUAGCCAUGAAAGCCAAAGCCCAACACUAGACCAUGAAGAGCGUCUAGACCAUGAUGAGCGUCUAGCUAGAAGGAUGGAGCGUCUAGGACGUGAAGAGGAAAGGCUACCCAUGGAGCGUCUAGGAGGAGACCUAGACCGUCUAGGACCUAUCACAAGGUCAAUGACUAAGCAUAUUCAAGCCCAAUUGAAUGAAGCCACGGAUGGAAG